AGAGUUUGAUCCUGGCUCAGAACGAACGUUGGCGGCGUGGAUUAGGCAUGCAAGUCGAACGAAUGCUAGCUGUGUAGCAAUACAUGGCUAGCGGAAGUGGCGAAAGGGGCAGUAAUGCAUGGGUAACCUACCUUGGGGAUGGGCAUAGCCGUUCUAACGAGCGGGUAAUUCCCAGAGAUUCAGCGGAAGGGCAUCCUUCUGCUGGGAAAUGAAUUUCGCCUCGAGAGGGGCCCAUGUGCUAUUAGCUAGUUGGUGGGGUAACGGCCUACCAAGGCUAAGAUGGCUAGCGGGUGUGAGAGCACGACCCGCGCCACUGGCACUGAGACACUGGCCAGACACCUACGGGUGGCUGCAGUCGAGGAUCUUCGUCAAUGGGCGCAAGCCUGAACGAGCGACGCCGCGUGCGCGAUGAAGGCCUUCGGGUUGUAAAGCGCGAAAGUGGGGACAAAACCGCAAGGUUGAUCGAUCCACAGUAAGGACGGGCUAAGUUCGUGCCAGCAGCCGCGGUAAGACGAACUGUCCUAACGUUGUUCGGAAUCACUGGGCUUAAAGGGCGCGUAGGCGGUCCGACAAGUCGGGGGUGAAAUCCUGCAGCUUAACUGUAGAAGUGCCUUCGAUACUGUCGGUCUUGAGGGAGGUAGGGGUGUGUGGAACUUCCAGUGGAGCGGUGAAAUGCGUUGAUAUUGGAAGGAACGCCGGAGGCGAAAGCGACGCACUGGACCUCUUCUGACGCUGAGGCGCGAAAGCUAGGGGAGCAAACGGGAUUAGAUACCCCAGUAGUCC
Molecule: ribosomal RNA, 783 nt
Filed under: uncultured bacterium
Lineage: Bacteria
Description: bacterial SSU rRNA
Rfam family: Bacterial small subunit ribosomal RNA
Source: RNAcentral